GAUGAACGCUGGCGGCGUGCCUAAUACAUGCAAGUCGAGCGAACAGACGAGGAGCUCGCUCCUCUGACGUUAGCGGCGGACGGGUGAGUAACACGUGGAUAACCUACCUAUAAGACUGGGAUAACUUCGGGAAACCGGAGCUAAUACCGGAUAAUACAUUGAACCGCAUGGUUCAAUAGUGAAAGACGGUUUUGCUGUCACUUAUAGAUGGAUCCGCGCCGCAUUAGCUAGUUGGUAAGGUAACGGCUUACCAAGGCAACGAUGCGUAGCCGACCUGAGAGGGUGAUCGGCCACACUGGAACUGAGACACGGUCCAGACUCCUACGGGAGGCAGCAGUAGGGAAUCUUCCGCAAUGGGCGAAAGCCUGACGGAGCAACGCCGCGUGAGUGAUGAAGGUCUUCGGAUCGUAAAACUCUGUUAUUAGGGAAGAACAAAUGUGUAAGUAACUAUGCACGUCUUGACGGUACCUAAUCAGAAAGCCACGGCUAACUACGUG
This 497-nucleotide ribosomal RNA is filed under the name uncultured bacterium. Its description in RNAcentral is "partial 16S ribosomal RNA". It matches the Rfam family "Bacterial small subunit ribosomal RNA", at positions 28 to 507 of the family's 1533-position model. The record is from RNAcentral.